CUUAAUAACAAUUAGUUUUGAAAGACAAUAGAAACUUUUACCCUAGACACCCAAAUUCUCUUAAUCAAUGUUUACUCAAUUCUUAAAUUUUUGGAAGUCACGAUGGCUGCAAUGGAUUUGAGCUCUGAAGCCUCCGUUGAUUUGAAGCUUCCUUCAAUGGCUACUAUGGAUUUGAGAUGAAGCACGCAUCAAUGGCUACUAUGGAUUUGAGAUGAAGCACGCAUCAAUGUUUUCUUUCUGCUUGAACUGAAGUGCACUAAGAGAAAAAUAAGGACUACCUUGAACAAUCAUGGAGAACUCUUGAAAAAGAAGAUGGAUGGAUUACAGUAGAGUCAGUAAAGAGUAUUUAGAUGGAGUAGAAAAUAUUUGUGAUUUAGAAGAUGACAACAAUGGUUGGGUAAGAGGUGGAGUUGAUGGUAUAUAAAUCGUUACGGACUGAAAUUUCAACUUCCUCCAAUAGAAGAGAUAUACUGAAAAUCGCCCUCCAUUUCGCAUCUGUUAGAGGCCAUGUUUUUGGGAGGAAGAACAUCGGGAUUAUGUCAGGCCAUGUUUCUGGGAGGAAGAACAUUGAGAUUAUAUCAGGUAUCUUUUUCUCCAAAUCUAUUUCCUCAUUAUACUGAAUUUGAAGCUAUUGCCUUAGGUAUGUUACAUUGUAGUCCUUCUAGGUAACACUAGUGACUAGUCCAUAGUAGUAGAAUAAUUUGGAAGAUGAAAUUGCAGACAUUUAUAGCAUACUCAUGCUGAUACUCAUGCCAAUAUUCUGCUCAUACAAAUACAAAUGUUGAUUUUCUGCUUAUACAUGGAGCAUUACAUGUUUGAGUUACUAUAUUUGGACAAGAUGGUAAGGUCUUCCUUAUCGUUCUUGCAUAAUUGAUUUAUUAGACGUUGUUGUUCCAACCAAGUUGGACAAGAAUUCCUUCAUAUGUGGGCGUUCAUUUGGAUCCUCAUUCAAGCAUUUUACUGCUAAGUCUGUGAUGUUAUUAGCAAACUCAUCAUUAUCUUGCAAAAUUGAUUUAUCCACUAUUGAACUUUUUUUUCUCCUUGGAGCUGCUUCAUAAUCUAGUGUUGGGUUGCCAUUUUCUUCUCUAUUUCGUCAAAUUUUAGUCACCUGGUCUUAGUGAGUAAGAUAUGUAAUUGUCAUAUCAAAUGGUGAGCUUGUUCAAGGAAUGACAGACUGAUCCAGGAAGCUGCACAUUUUGCAUUAGGGAAAAAUAGUGGCUUUAUUGCCUUGCUUUCUCCAUUGUCGAACAUAUUUUUUCUAUUUUUAUAAUUCGUAGUUUCUUUUACCGCUAACAAUACAAGAAAGUGAAUGUAAUAAAGAUUGUUUGAUCUUAUUUUAAGCGAAUGACAUUGUUUUGAGUUUGGUAA
This is a long non-coding RNA of Solanum pennellii, 1368 nucleotides long. RefSeq lists it as uncharacterized. The transcript has 4 exons. NCBI's taxonomy places the organism in Eukaryota, Viridiplantae, Streptophyta, Magnoliopsida, Solanales, Solanaceae. The record is from RefSeq and is a predicted model, not a curated record.